This 509-nucleotide ribosomal RNA is filed under the name uncultured bacterium. RNAcentral describes it as "bacterial SSU rRNA". It matches the Rfam family "Bacterial small subunit ribosomal RNA", at positions 8 to 526 of the family's 1533-position model. The record is from RNAcentral.
AGGGUUUGAUCCUGGCUCAGGACGAACGCUGGCGGUGCGCCUUAUGCAUGCAAGUCGAGCGAAGCUUUUCAGUAGUUUACUACUGAAAAUGACUGAGCGGCGAACGGGUGAGUAACGCGUGAGCAACCUACCUUAGUUACUGGGAUAGCCCGAGGAAACUCGGAUUAAUACCGGAUAUUCUUAUUUAAUCACAUGAUUUUUUAAGGAAAGGUCAGCCGAACUAAGAUGGGCUCGCGUUCUAUCAGCUAGUUGGUAGGGUAAUGGCCUACCAAGGCUACGACGGAUAGCUGGUCUGAGAGGACGAUCAGCCACACUGGGACUGAGACACGGCCCAGACUCCUACGGGAGGCUGCAGCAGGGAAUAUUGCGCAAUGAGCGAAAGCUUGACGCAGCGACACCGCGUGUGGGAUGACGGAUCUAGGUUUGUAAACCACUUUCAGGAGGGAAGAAAAUGACGGUACCUCCACAAGAAGCCCCGGCCAACUACGUGCCAGCCGCCGCGGUAAUUC